CAGUACAGUACCGUACAGUACAGUGCAGUGUAGUGCAGCACAAUACAGUACCGUACAGUACAGUGCUGUGUAGUGCAGCACAGUACAGUACAGUACAGUGCAGUGCAGUGCA
Non-coding RNA from Bombyx mori (domestic silkworm), 112 nucleotides. The record is from RefSeq and is marked provisional. Lineage: Eukaryota; Metazoa; Arthropoda; Insecta; Lepidoptera; Bombycidae.